Molecule: ribosomal RNA, 253 nt
Filed under: uncultured bacterium
Lineage: Bacteria
Description: partial 16S ribosomal RNA
Rfam family: Bacterial small subunit ribosomal RNA
Source: RNAcentral
UACGUAGGGGGCAAGCGUUGUCCGGAAUCAUUGGGCGUAAAGCGCGUGUCGGCGGUUCGGUAAGUCCGCUGUGAAAGUCGGGGGCUCAACCCUCGGAUGCCGGUGGAUACUGUCGGGCUUGAGUACGGAAGAGGCGAGUGGAAUUCCUGGUGUAGCGGUGAAAUGCGCAGAUAUCAGGAGGAACACCAAUUGCGAAGGCAGCUCGCUGGGACGUUACUGACGCUGAGACGCGAAAGCGUGGGGAGCAAACAGG